This 67-nucleotide transfer RNA is filed under the name Marmota monax (woodchuck). Its description in RNAcentral is "tRNA.Ala". Lineage: Eukaryota; Metazoa; Chordata; Mammalia; Rodentia; Sciuridae. The record is from RNAcentral.
GGUUAUAGCUCAGUGGUAGAUUGCCUACCUAGCAUGCAUGAGGCACUGGGUUCAAUCCCCAGCACCA